Molecule: long non-coding RNA, 1976 nt
Filed under: Oreochromis niloticus (Nile tilapia)
Lineage: Eukaryota; Metazoa; Chordata; Actinopteri; Cichliformes; Cichlidae
Description: lncRNA (ENSONIG00000040101.1)
Source: RNAcentral
AAAGUAAGAUAUUCAAAUUCCUUCUGUAUUUAUACAUGUAAUCAACACAUAGCACAAGAACUGUGUAAACAGCAUUUACAAACCUAUUGUGGACAAUAACACAAAAAUCAUAACAUAACAAACUUAUCCAAAAACAUGUAAAAUGUUUAAAUGGUCCUAAGCCAUUUUUUUCAUGACUCUAAACAAUUCUUAAAUACAUUUAAAACAAUACAAGCAUGUGGUUGGUAGCUACUGAAACUUUGACACAUCUUAAUUUUUUAUGUCUUUAUUUGUAUACCUCAGUAUCAUAUAUAAUGAUUCAAAGGCCUUCACAGGCUUAAAACAGACUAAGUCAUAAAAACCAUACGUCUUUUAGUCAUAUCUGCCAUCUUAAACUUAAACAAACAACAGAACAGACUUGUAUAUAGCUAUCCACCUCGGUAUAAAAUGUUUACAUUUAGCAAAUAUGAUAAAUUUCUCAAUUUAGACUCUAAUUGGUAAGUGGCACUUAUGACUUAUUUUUAAUUGCUUGUCACUUGAUGACUUGGGUCAGAAGUUUGUAUUCCAGUCUUAUGUUCAGUGGAAAUAUUCUGGAUAACAGUUUAUUACUAGUGACUGAAUUAUUGAAUGCGCUUUCUUGUUAGGCCCUUCAUGAAAUGGGAAUUGACCAGCAGAGGGAGCCGAGAUCCAGGAAUUACCAUACUUCAAAUGCUUUGGUGUCUGUGACUUCCCAACAAAUGAAAUAAGUACUACAGCUCCAGGAAGAAAGUAGAGCAGCCAACGCUCAUAAGCGUCUCUGGGUUAUGGAUUACAGUGGUUUCACCUCAGUUCAGAACUCACCUCCGGGACUUCAUAAAGCUCCUGACUCUUGGCCAGACUCUCAUUAGGCCCACACAGCCCUUUGCCCUCUAUCCGACAGCACUUGGCAAGUGCUGUAGUAAAUGGGAUCUGGAAGCAAGGCACUGGAAAGGGGAAGGAUUCUGCCAGAUGACAGAAGAGCUAUUACCAGACCGCUGCGUUCGGUGAACAGAGCAGGUCUAGGAAAAGCAAUAAAUGGUUUGUUUGUUGACAACAACUUGGGAAUCCUCUGGGAGAUGAGGACACACCCACAUCUGCUCCAUACCAGUGUCAUGGAGGAUGUUACGGCUCUGAGUCACUUUCGUGGCAUCUGACACCCACACAAGAAAAACAGGAAACUUACUGCAGGACACACUGCCUCAGUAAUGAUUGACUCUACAUCCUGCAUCCCUGUUUUAUGAGUUAUAUUUGAGAGGAGUAAAGUUAUUCACAUAAAUAAAGUUGUUGGGGGUUUUUUUUUUCGACUGAUCACUACAGUCAUACUACACUUGGAAAGAGAAAGAGAGAAUAUGGAACUUGUUUAGUUACACAUUCAGCAGAACACAAUCAUCCAGCUUAAGCGGUGUUAUAUAUAACCAUGAGUGUUAGUUCCAUAACCAAUUAGAGAUCACCCUCCUAACACCCAAACUCAUUUGUUAUUUGCAUUUUCAAUUUCUCCUAUUAGCUGGACCUUGUAAGUAUAAAAAGUAAGAAUCACCUUUGAACAGAAAGUGUUUUUAAAAAGGUGUGCUCAUGAGGACAAUGGGUUUAUCUUGCAGCACAACACAAAGUUGCCAUAUUUUAUCAAAUUUUAAAACACUUAAAAAGCAGAAUGAAGGUGCAGAAAAGCCUAAAUCAGACAAAUCAUACAUGACAUUUUCAAAGAAUGCAAACUUUCUCAUUACAAGUUGCCAAAUCUGCCAGAAAUAGGCAGAUUAAUCAGUCGUUGCUCUCUCUCUCUCUGGAAUUGCUGCACAGAGGAUGUAACAUCUAUAAUAAGCACUGAGGUUUGUGUCCUUGUCUGGAUUACGCCAUCCUCAGCCUCCAGGUUAGGAAAAGUGGAACAGAAGAUAUUCAGAUACAUCUCUCCACAGCUGCUGAUGAAUUCUACAAAAAUAAGAAACAGUUAGUUAAAAACACUUUCAGGUGAAUUUCACCAC